CGACAGGAAAGACAGCGGGGAGAAGCCUCACCCGGUUCUGGCUGCAGCUCCGCCGAACGAACCUACCCUCCCGCGGCCCACUCCCCUUGCGCCGCACAAACAACUACGCUCAGCUCCGUCCAGUACCGUCUUCAGCGCUGGUGAGGAGGAGGCAGAGGAGGCGGUAGAGGAGGCGGUGGCGCCGCGGAGUCCGGGAAAGGCCCGCCCUCCGCACGCUCAUUGGCUGCUGGCGAGGGCGGCCCGGAAUGCCUCGGGCAGAUUCCAUUGGCCCAGUCGGCCUUCUUUCAGGACCCU
Molecule: long non-coding RNA, 294 nt
Filed under: Rattus norvegicus (Norway rat)
Lineage: Eukaryota; Metazoa; Chordata; Mammalia; Rodentia; Muridae
Description: long non-coding RNA NONRATT010466
Source: RNAcentral